UGGGGGAUAUUGCACAAUGGGCGAAAGCCUGAUGCAGCGACGCCGCGUGGGGGAUGAAGGCCUUCGGGUUGUAAACUUCUUUUGCUCUGAACAAGGCAUGCCUUUGGGGUGUGUUGAGUGUAGGGGUUGAUUAGCGCCGGCUAACUACGUGCCAGCAGCCGCGGUAAUACGUAGGGCGCGAGCGUUGUCCGGAAUUAUUGGGCGUAAAGGGCUUGUAGGUGGCUGGUUGCGUCUGUCGUGAAAGCUCAUGGCUUAACUGUGGGUUUGCGGUGGGUACGGGCUGGCUUGAGUGCAGUAGGGGAGGCUGGAAUUCCUGGUGUAGCGGUGGAAUGCGCAGAUGUCAGGAGGAAUACCGGUGGCGAAGGCGGGUCUCUGGGCUGUUACUGCCGCUGAGGAGCGAAAGCGUGGGGAGCGAACAGG
Molecule: ribosomal RNA, 420 nt
Filed under: Fusobacteriota bacterium
Lineage: Bacteria; Fusobacteriati; Fusobacteriota
Description: Fusobacteria bacterium partial 16S ribosomal RNA
Rfam family: Bacterial small subunit ribosomal RNA
Source: RNAcentral